This 427-nucleotide ribosomal RNA is filed under the name uncultured bacterium. Its description in RNAcentral is "bacterial SSU rRNA". It matches the Rfam family "Bacterial small subunit ribosomal RNA", at positions 355 to 774 of the family's 1533-position model. The record is from RNAcentral.
UGGGGAAUUUUGGACAAUGGGCGCAAGCCUGAUCCAGCCAUGCCGCGUGCGGGAAGAAGGCCUUCGGGUUGUAAACCGCUUUUGUCAGGGAAGAAAUCCUUUGAGCUAAUACCUCGGGGGGAUGACGGUACCUGAAGAAUAAGCACCGGCUAACUACGUGCCAGCAGCCGCGGUAAUACGUAGGGUGCGAGCGUUAAUCGGAAUUACUGGGCGUAAAGCGUGCGUAGGUGGUUUGUUAAGUCUGAUGUGAAAGCCCUGGGCUCAACCUGGGAAUUGCAUUGGAUACUGGCAGGCUAGAGUGCGGUAGAGGAUGGCGGAAUUCCAGGUGUAGCGGUGAAAUGCGUAGAGAUCUGGAGGAACACCGAUGGCGAAGGCAAUCCCCUGGACCUGUACUGACGCUCAUGCACGAAAGCGUGGGGAGCAAACA